This 423-nucleotide ribosomal RNA is filed under the name uncultured bacterium. RNAcentral describes it as "bacterial SSU rRNA". It matches the Rfam family "Bacterial small subunit ribosomal RNA", at positions 207 to 622 of the family's 1533-position model. The record is from RNAcentral.
AAGACCUUGCGCUUUUGGAGCGGCCGAUGCCUGAUUAGCUAGUUGGUGGGGUAAUGGCCUACCAAAGCUUCGAUCAGUAGCUGGUCUGAGAGGACGGCCAGCCACACUGGGACUGAGACACGGCCCAGACUCCUACGGGAGGCAGCAGUGGGGAAUUUUGGACAAUGGGCGCAAGCCUGAUCCAGCCAUGCCGCGUGAGUGAAGAAGGCCUUCGGGUUGUAAAGCUCUUUCAGCCGGGAAGAAAAGGUUGCGACUAAUAAUCGCAAUUUAUGACGGUACCGGAAGAAGAAGCACCGGCUAACUACGUGCCAGCAGCCGCGGUAAUACGUAGGGUGCGAGCGUUAAUCGGAAUUACUGGGCGUAAAGGGUGCGCAGGCGGUUUUGUAAGUCGGAUGUGAAAUCCCCGGGCUUAACCUGGGAACU